RNAcentral lists this unclassified non-coding RNA (236 nucleotides) under Hevea brasiliensis (rubber tree). The record is from RNAcentral. Lineage: Eukaryota; Viridiplantae; Streptophyta; Magnoliopsida; Malpighiales; Euphorbiaceae.
AGAGAGAGAGAUUUUAGAGAGAGAGAGAGAGUGUGUAUGUAUUGGUAGAGAGAGAGGAUUUAUCGGAAAAUUCCUGCAUUUGAAUCGGAGGAUCUGAAAUUAGGGUUUCUAAUUGCAAUCGUAUCGAAUUGAAUUUUCAGAUAUGGACUUAGAUUCUUCAAUGGCGUCAGAAGCCGAUCAGGAUCCAGUUCAGAAUAACGGGCCAACAUUGGUGAACAAGUCAUCAAACGCCGGAG